UACGUAGGCAGCGAGCGUUGUUCGGAGUUACUGGGCGUAAAGGGUGUGUAGGCGGUUCUUUAAGUUUGGUGUGAAAGCCCCGGGCUCAACCUGGGAAUUGCAUUCGAGACUGAAUAGCUAGGGUACGGUAGAGGGAAGCGGAAUUUCCGGUGUAGCGGUGAAAUGCGUAGAUAUCGGAAGGAACAUCAGUGGCGAAAGCGGCUUCCUGGACCAGUACCGACGUUCAGGCACGAAAGCGUGGGGAGCAAACAGG
Molecule: ribosomal RNA, 253 nt
Filed under: uncultured bacterium
Lineage: Bacteria
Description: partial 16S ribosomal RNA
Rfam family: Bacterial small subunit ribosomal RNA
Source: RNAcentral